GAUGAACGCUGGCGGCGUGCCUAAUACAUGCAAGUCGAGCGAACGGACGAGAAGCUUGCUUCUCUGAUGUUAGCGGCGGACGGGUGAGUAACACGUGGAUAACCUACCUAUAAGACUGGGAUAACUUCGGGAAACCGGAGCUAAUACCGGAUAAUAUUUUGAACCGCAUGGGUCAAAAGUGAAAGACGGUCUUGCUGUCACUUAUAGAUGGAUCCGCGCUGCAUUAGCUAGUUGGUAAGGUAACGGCUUACCAAGGCAACGAUGCAUAGCCGACCUGAGAGGGUGAUCGGCCACCCUGGAACUGAGACACGGUCCAGACUCCUACGGGAGGCAGCAGUAGGGAAUCUUCCGCAAUGGUCGAAAGCCUGACGGAGCAACGCCGCGUGAGUGAUGAAGGUCUUCGGAUCGUAAAACUCUGUUAUUAGGGAAGAACAUAUGUGUAAGUAACUGUGCACAUCUUGACGGUACCUAAUCAGAAAGCCCCGGCUAACUACGUG
Molecule: ribosomal RNA, 497 nt
Filed under: uncultured bacterium
Lineage: Bacteria
Description: partial 16S ribosomal RNA
Rfam family: Bacterial small subunit ribosomal RNA
Source: RNAcentral